RNAcentral lists this ribosomal RNA (449 nucleotides) under uncultured bacterium. RNAcentral describes it as "SSU rRNA". It matches the Rfam family "Bacterial small subunit ribosomal RNA", at positions 26 to 518 of the family's 1533-position model. The record is from RNAcentral.
AGAGCGAACGCUGGCGGCAGGCUUAACACAUGCAAGUCGAACGCUCGUAGCAAUACGGGAGUGGCAGACGGGUGAGUAACGCGUGGGAACAUACCCUCCGGUUCGGAAUAGCUCAGGGAAACUUGGAUUAAUACCGGAUACGGCCGAGAGGCGAAAGAUUUAUCGCCGGAGGAUUGGCCCGCGUUCGAUUAGCUAGUUGGUGAGGUAACGGCUCACCAAGGCGAUGAUCGAUAGCUGGUCUGAGAGGAUGAUCAGCCACAUUGGGACUGAGACACGGCCCAAACUCCUACGGGAGGCAGCAGUGGGGAAUAUUGGACAAUGGGCGCAAGCCUGAUCCAGCCAUGCCGCGUGAGUGAUGACGGCCUUAGGGUUGUAAAGCUCUUUCGCUCGGGACGAUAAUGACGGUACCGAGAUAAGAAGCCCCGGACUAACUUCGUGCCAGCAGCCGC